UAGAUUUUGAUGUCUGCCUAUGCAUAUUGUCCAAUUUGUUCACCUUCGUUGUCUGGAAUGGAUCUUUGGAUUAUCCAAUUUUUAUGGAGAUUGUUAUAUGUAACCAUACAAUUAGCAUUGCUAUUUAUAAGAAAACUUCUAAAUUUUACAAUACUAUCAAAACUAAUGCCCUUUUACAUGCAUCCUCUUCUUGCUUAUGAUACACUACUGUGGUAACAGCAAGCCAAAAGCUAUCUUUCCUCAUUUCUUAUUUUCAAUGUCUUAGU
Molecule: unclassified non-coding RNA, 266 nt
Filed under: Hevea brasiliensis (rubber tree)
Lineage: Eukaryota; Viridiplantae; Streptophyta; Magnoliopsida; Malpighiales; Euphorbiaceae
Source: RNAcentral